UACGUAGGGUGCAAGCGUUAAUCGGAAUUACUGGGCGUAAAGCGUGCGCAGGCGGUUAUGUAAGACAGAUGUGAAAUCCCCGGGCUCAACCUGGGAACUGCAUUUGUGACUGCAUAGCUAGAGUACGGUAGAGGGGGAUGGAAGUCCGCGUGUAGCAGUGAAAUGCGUAGAUAUGCGGAGGAACACCGAUGGCGAAGGCAAUCCCCUGGACCUGUACUGACGCUCAUGCACGAAAGCGUGGGGAGCAAACAGG
Molecule: ribosomal RNA, 253 nt
Filed under: uncultured bacterium
Lineage: Bacteria
Description: partial 16S ribosomal RNA
Rfam family: Bacterial small subunit ribosomal RNA
Source: RNAcentral